Molecule: ribosomal RNA, 253 nt
Filed under: uncultured bacterium
Lineage: Bacteria
Description: partial 16S ribosomal RNA
Rfam family: Bacterial small subunit ribosomal RNA
Source: RNAcentral
UACGAAGGGGGCUAGCGUUGUUCGGAAUUACUGGGCGUAAAGGGUGCGUAGGUGGCGCUGUAAGUCGGGUGUGAAAUUUCGGAGCUUAACUCCGAAACUGCAUUCGAUACUGCGGUGCUUGAGGACUGGAGAGGAGACUGGAAUUCAUGGUGUAGCAGUGAAAUGCGUAGAGAUCAUGAGGAAGACCAGUGGCGAAGGCGGGUCUCUGGACAGUUCCUGACACUGAGGCACGAAGGCCAGGGGAGCAAACGGG